Molecule: non-coding RNA, 253 nt
Filed under: uncultured bacterium
Lineage: Bacteria
Also listed under: 1 other name
Description: partial 16S ribosomal RNA
Rfam family: Bacterial small subunit ribosomal RNA
Source: RNAcentral
UACGGAGGGGGCAAGCGUUGUUCGGAAUUACUGGGCGUAAAGGGCGCGUAGGCGGCCGGUCGCGUCAGGUGUGAAAGCCCCGGGCUCAACCUGGGAGGUGCACUUGAUACGGGCUGGCUGGAGGCCGAGAGAGGUGAGUGGAAUUCCCAGUGUAGAGGUGAAAUUCGUAGAUAUUGGGAAGAACACCAGUGGCGAAGGCGGCUCACUGGCUCGGUCCUGACGCUGAGGCGCGAAAGCGUGGGGAGCAAACAGG